ACGGCGAGUGAAGCGGCAACAGCUCAAAUUUGAAAUCUGGCCUCACGGUCCGAAUUGUAAUUUGUAGAGGAUGUUUCUGGCGACGUGUCUUCCGAGUUCCCUGGAACGGGACGCCAUAGAGGGUGAGAGCCCCGUCCGGUCGUACACCUAGCCUCUGUGAAACUCCUUCGACGAGUCGAGUAGUUUGGGAAUGCUGCUCUAAAUGGGAGGUAUACGUCUUCUAAAGCUAAAUACCGGCCAGAGACCGAUAGCGCACAAGUAGAGUGAUCGAAAGAUGAAAAGCACUUUGAAAAGAGGGUUAAAUAGUACGUGAAAUUGCUGAAAGGGAAGCGCUUAUGACCAGACUUGGGCUCGGUGAAUCAUCCGGCGUUCUCGCCGGUGCACUUUGCCGUCCCAGGCCAGCAUCAGUUCGCGCCGGGGGAUAAAGGUUUCGGGAAUGUAGCUCCCUCGGGAGUGUUAUAGCCCGUUGCGUAAUACCCUGGCGUGGACUGAGGUCCGCGCUCUGCAAGGAUGCUGGCGUAAUGGUCAUCAGUGACCCGUCUUGAAACACGGACCAAGGAGUCGUCUUCGUAUGCGAGUGUUCGGGUGUCAAACCCCUACGCGUAAUGAAAGUGAACGUAGGAGAGAGCUUCGGCGCAUCUCCGACCGAUCCUGAUGUUCUCGGAUGGAUUUGAGUAAGAGCAUACGGGGCCGGACCCGAAAGAAGGUGAACUAUGCCUGUAUAGGGUGAAGCCAGAGGAAACUCUGGUGGAGGCUCGCAGCGGUUCUGACGUGCAAAUCGAUCGUCAAAUAUGGGCAUGGGGGCGAAAGACUAAUCGAACC
This 822-nucleotide ribosomal RNA is filed under the name Acremonium sclerotigenum. Its description in RNAcentral is "eukaryotic LSU rRNA". It matches the Rfam family "Eukaryotic large subunit ribosomal RNA", at positions 86 to 941 of the family's 3401-position model. The record is from RNAcentral. Lineage: Eukaryota; Fungi; Ascomycota; Sordariomycetes; Hypocreales; Bionectriaceae.